UACGGGGGGAGCAAACGUUGUUCGGAAUUACUGGGCGUAAAGGGCGCGCAGACGGCUCGGUUAGUGGAAUGUGAAAUGCCCUGGCUUAACCAGGGAACUGCAUUCCAUACUGCCGGGCUUGAGUAUAGGAGAGGAUGGGGGAAUUCCCGGUGUAGCGGUGGAAUGCAUUGAUAUCGGGAGGAACACCAGUGGCGAAGGCGCCCAUCUGGCCUAAUACUGACGCUGAGGCGCGAAAGCUAGGGGAGCAAACAGG
RNAcentral lists this ribosomal RNA (253 nucleotides) under uncultured bacterium. Its description in RNAcentral is "partial 16S ribosomal RNA". It matches the Rfam family "Bacterial small subunit ribosomal RNA", at positions 524 to 776 of the family's 1533-position model. The record is from RNAcentral.